Molecule: ribosomal RNA, 447 nt
Filed under: uncultured bacterium
Lineage: Bacteria
Description: bacterial SSU rRNA
Rfam family: Bacterial small subunit ribosomal RNA
Source: RNAcentral
AGCCAGACUCCUACGGGAGGCAGCAGUGGGGAAUAUUGCACAAUGGGGGAAACCCUGAUGCAGCGACGCCGCGUGAGCGAUGAAGUAUUUCGGUAUGUAAAGCUCUAUCAGCAGGGAAGAAGAUGACGGUACCUGACUAAGAAGCCCUGGCUAACUACGUGCCAGCAGCCGCGGUAAUACGUAGGGGGCAAGCGUUAUCCGGAUUUACUGGGUGUAAAGGGAGCGUAGACGGCGAUGCAAGCCAGAUGUGAAAGCCCGGGGCUCAACCCCGGGACUGCAUUUGGAACUGUGUGGCUGGAGUGUCGGAGAGGCAGGCGGAAUUCCUAGUGUAGCGGUGAAAUGCGUAGAUAUUAGGAGGAACACCAGUGGCGAAGGCGGCCUGCUGGACGAUGACUGACGUUGAGGCUCGAAAGCGUGGGGAGCAAACAGGAUUAGAUACCCUUGUAU